Long non-coding RNA from Gasterosteus aculeatus aculeatus (three-spined stickleback), 779 nucleotides. Lineage: Eukaryota; Metazoa; Chordata; Actinopteri; Perciformes; Gasterosteidae. The record is from Ensembl.
CCGACGUGACCAAACCCUGUAGGUCUACUUUGGAUGAUUGAAACUGUAAUUGCAGCAUAGCCAGUCUAAUCACAGAGGCUUCUAUGGUUGUGUGUUUGUGACUGCACAAUGGCGGGGGUCCAGGCCUUAUCCGCGCGUGUCCGUCUAUCUUUGCAGGUGAUGAUCGGAUCUCAGGCGGCAGCUCGUGUGUGAUUGUGUUUGAGGAAUCCGGCCCCCCCCCGUCUUCCAAUCUGUCCAUCUCUCAGCGCUCUUGUAGCGGCGGAUGAGAGUCCCGCCUCUCUUCAGCAGAAGCAGCACCAUUGAUCGGCCAGAUGGACUGCCACAAAAUUCAUGUUUUCAACCAUCAUGUGCUCUAUGACACCUAAUGAUCCCAUUAGUUUUCCUCCACUGCCACCAAAAGACAUCCUCAACGGUGACGUUUGGCUCCUACGAGAAAAAGUCGAAACAGAAAAGGGUGGAGACUGGCCAUGUGACUCCGCCAAUGGCGACGCGAUCUGUCAGCAAUCAGCAAACCCAGAAGAAGAUAGAAUCAGUAAACGGCAGUCAAGUCAAGCAAGACCGACCCUAAAGUCUUCUUUUUGGAGGAAGGGGGAGGUUCCAGCUUCUACACAAACGGAGCCUCCUCUGUCAUCACCACCACCACCAUCUUUGUUGAUUCAAGUUACAAUAAUAUGUGGUCCAACUACGUGGAACUAUGUUCUUACGGUCUUAAUUGCUGUAUCAAUCCGCAUGUUAAAGUGUGUAUUUAUAUGUGCUUCGUAUUUGUAUUUUUAGGGCUG